This 66-nucleotide transfer RNA is filed under the name Ameletus sp. 1 MT-2014. Its description in RNAcentral is "tRNA-Asp". The record is from RNAcentral. Lineage: Eukaryota; Metazoa; Arthropoda; Insecta; Ephemeroptera; Ameletidae.
AAAAGAUUAGUUAAACUAACAUUAGUAUGUCACGCUAAAAUUACUGGGCCUAUCCAGUAUCUUUUA